Molecule: unclassified non-coding RNA, 279 nt
Filed under: uncultured fungus
Lineage: Eukaryota; Fungi
Description: partial contains small subunit ribosomal RNA, internal transcribed spacer 1, and 5.8S ribosomal RNA
Rfam family: Eukaryotic small subunit ribosomal RNA (bases 1-73)
Source: RNAcentral
CCAAACUUGGUCAUUUAGAGGAAGUAAAAGUCGUAACAAGGUUUCCGUAGGUGAACCUGCGGAAGGAUCAUUAUCGAGUUCACGCCCUCACGGGCAGAUCUCCCACCCUUGAAUACUUUACCUUUGUUGCUUUGGCGGGCCACGCUCGCGUGUCGGCCUCGGCUGACUGCGCCCGCCAGAGGACCCAAACUCUUUUGUUUAGUGAUGUCUGAGUACUAUAUAAUAGUUAAAACUUUCAACAACGGAUCUCUUGGUUCUGGCAUCGAUGAAGAACGCAGC